This 493-nucleotide ribosomal RNA is filed under the name uncultured bacterium. Its description in RNAcentral is "partial 16S ribosomal RNA". It matches the Rfam family "Bacterial small subunit ribosomal RNA", at positions 29 to 523 of the family's 1533-position model. The record is from RNAcentral.
AUUGAACGCUGGCGGCAUGCUUUACACAUGCAAGUCGAACGGUAACAGGUUAAGCUGACGAGCGGCGAACGGGUGAGUAAUGCAUCGGAACGUGCCCGGUCGUGGGGGAUAACGCAGCGAAAGCUGCGCUAAUACCGCAUACGAUCUAAGGAUGAAAGCGGGGGACCGUAAGGCCUCGCGCGAUCGGAGCGGCCGAUGUCAGAUUAGGUAGUUGGUGGGGUAAAGGCUCACCAAGCCAACGAUCUGUAGCUGGUCUGAGAGGACGACCAGCCACACUGGGACUGAGACACGGCCCAGACUCCUACGGGAGGCAGCAGUGGGGAACUUUGGACAAUGGGCGAAAGCCUGAUCCAGCAAUGCCGCGUGCAGGAAGAAGGCCUUCGGGUUGUAAACUGCUUUUGUACGGAGCGAAAAGGUCUCCUCUAAUACAGGGGGCUCAUGACGGUACCGUAAGAAUAAGCACCGGCUAACUACGUGCCAGCAGCCGCAGUAA